UGCGAGGCUCUAAUGUAGACUGGUCAC
This 27-nucleotide non-coding RNA is filed under the name Rattus norvegicus (Norway rat). Lineage: Eukaryota; Metazoa; Chordata; Mammalia; Rodentia; Muridae. The record is from RNAcentral.